UUGCAUAAGCCACUUGAAGGGUCUAAAUUCCUUAGCAACAUGAUGGAUGUAGUUGAAGGUUGAUGACUGCAGGUUGCAUUUCAGUCAAGUUGAAUUCAUAUAUUCUCCAUAGUGCUUCAGGCGGUGAGACCCACCGCGCAUCUUGGAAUGUUUGUAUUUCAUCAAUAACAUUUUCACCAUCAUCAGAUUGAACAUAAACGGCACACCGAUCAUGACCUUUAUAUAUAUACUUGUAUAGAUACUUUAUUGCUUUGACUCCUAAGCAGACCUCAACAUUAAUGUGACAAUUGUAUCUUGUAAGCAGAUAAGGGCUAUAAGGUACCACC
Long non-coding RNA from Solanum verrucosum, 326 nucleotides. RefSeq lists it as uncharacterized. NCBI's taxonomy places the organism in Eukaryota, Viridiplantae, Streptophyta, Magnoliopsida, Solanales, Solanaceae. The transcript has 2 exons. The record is from RefSeq and is a predicted model, not a curated record.